GUGUAACUCCAGCUCCAGUACUCGUGUCAUUUCCUGAUACAGCUUUGACCUCAACAGCAGGAGAAUGUGAUCUUUUAUCUUCCUGCGAACAUUCUAGGAGUGCUGAUCCAUUGCGUGAAGGUGUGAUACUUGGACUAGGCAUUUGAGGUCUCUCCUCGACGUGUUCACUAUCCGGGAGCAUUCCAGGUCUCUCCUCAACGUGUUCGCUAUCUGGGAGCAUUCGAGGUCUCUCCUCAAUGUGUGCACUAUCCGGGAGCCCAUUUCGCUGAUUAUUCAUUUCUUGAGCAUCAGAG
RNAcentral lists this long non-coding RNA (293 nucleotides) under Salvia miltiorrhiza (redroot sage). RNAcentral's name for it is "long non-coding RNA (SMIL_LNC006021)". The record is from RNAcentral. Lineage: Eukaryota; Viridiplantae; Streptophyta; Magnoliopsida; Lamiales; Lamiaceae.